UACGUAGGUGGCGAGCGUUAUCCGGAUUUAUUGGGCGUAAAGGGUGCGUAGGCGGCCUGUUAAGUUUAAGGUGAAAGCGUGGGGCUUAACCCCAUCGAGCCUUAGAUACUGGCAGGCUAGAGUACUGGAGAGGAAAGUGGAAUUCCAUGUGUAGCGGUAAAAUGCGUAGAUAUAUGGAGGAACACCGGUGGCGAAGGCGGCUUUCUAGGCAGUAACUGACGCUGAGGCUCGAAGGCGUGGGGAGCAGACA
Molecule: ribosomal RNA, 250 nt
Filed under: uncultured prokaryote
Description: partial 16S ribosomal RNA
Rfam family: Bacterial small subunit ribosomal RNA
Source: RNAcentral